AUGCCUAGGGCGAGGAAGUCGACUCCAUGCCUCAAGACUGCCUCCACCAAAACAGAAAGAAUGGUGAUUGUUGUAGGCAACUCUCUUCUCAGGGGAACAGAAGGUCCUAUUUGUCGGCCUCACCCUACCCGUACAGAAGUCUGCUGCCUCCCUGGGGCCAGGGUCAGAGACAUUGCCAGAAAGCUUCCCUUUCUGGCACUGUCCUGGUUUCAGUGCAUCGGUCAGCGAGUGGUGAGCAAUUGCAUUGUGCAUCACUUGUUUGUACAUACUAUUAUUACUUUCCUAUUAUCACCAUUGUAUUAUUAUUGUUAUUAUUUUAUUAUUAUUUUGUUAUUAUUAUUUUCCUGUCUUAUUAAACUGUCUUUAUCUCAACUCACGGGCUUCACUUUCCAUUUCUCUCCCCCGUCCCAGAGAGGGAGGGGGGAGGGUGAGCGAACGGCUGCGUGGUGUUUAGCUGCCGGCCGGGUUAAACCACGACAGAAUCUGUCCUGGUUUCAGUUAGAACAGAAUUAAUUUUCUUCCUAGUAGCUGGUGGAAUGCUGUGUUUUGGCUUAGGAUGAGAAGAGUGCUGAUAACACCCCGAUGCUUUAAUUGUUGCAGAGCAGUGCUUAUACUAAGCCAAGGACAUCUCAGCCUUUUGCUCUGUCCUGCCAACGGGCAGGCUGGGGGUGCAGUAAGAGCUGGGAGGGGACAGACCCAGGACAGGUGACCCAAAUUAGCCAAAGGGGUAUUCCAUACCAUCUGACGUCAUGCUAAACAAUAUAUAGGGGUGGCUAGCCGGGGGGAGGGGGCCGGACUGCUCGGGGUUAGGCUGGGCAUCGGUCAGCAAGUGGUGAGCAAUUGCAUUGUGCAUCACUUGUUUGUACAUAUUAUUAUUACUUUCCUAUUAUCACCAUUGUAUUAUUAUUAUUAUUAUUAUUAUUAUUAUUGUUAUUAUUGUUAUUAUUGUUAUUAUUGUUAUUAUUUUUUUUGGUAUUAUUAUUUUCCUGUCUUAUUAAACUGUCUUUAUCUCAACUCACGGGCUUCACUUUCCAUUUCUCUCCCCCGUCCCAGAGAGGGAGGGGGGGAGGGUGAGCGAACAGCUGCGUGGUGUUUAGCUGCCGGCCGGGUUAAACCACGACAUAUGGCUGCUGCUUUUACAUCAUAAUUGCACUUAAUUGCAUUGUUCCUAGCCGUGAUAGUUCUCAUUGAAUGAGACUGGAGUGAGGGUGUGUUAUGUUGUUGGUGAAUCCGUCGCCAUGAUAGUUCAGUAUUCUGAAUCUGACCGGACCCAUAUCGGUUAAUACGUUAUUGAUGAAUCUGUGACCGUGACAGUUCAGUAUCCUGAAUCAGACCAGACCCGUAACAGUUAAUCGGCUACACUCCCUUAACGCAAUACCUUCAAAGAAGGGCAAGCAGCAUAGAAAAAAUAACAUUGUUUGAAAAUAUAACUGAUAUUCAAACAUAGCAGCAUAGAAAAGUAUCAGAAAUGACAAAAAAACAAAGCUCAGACCAGCAGCAAGUUACAGCAGCAUUGGUAGUUGUGUCACUUGUGCUGUUAUAACCAAG
Molecule: long non-coding RNA, 1548 nt
Filed under: Anas zonorhyncha (Eastern spot-billed duck)
Lineage: Eukaryota; Metazoa; Chordata; Aves; Anseriformes; Anatidae
Description: lncRNA (ENSAZOG00000013902.1)
Source: RNAcentral